ACUGAUCAGAUACUGAAAUCUGACCUGGCAAGAUGUGGAAACUAGUUCAACACCGGGAGAGAAGGAAAUGGGAAGUCCCAGAUACGCCUCCAGUUUGUACCAGCCAAAGUCAGGUGGGAAAGGAUGUGUGGGAAAUAAGCAAUAGAAAAGAAACCAAGACACAGCUAAAGAAAAUCAAUGAGAUCUCAUCGGAAAAGUAACUACAAGACAGCAGAACUUUUCAGACUUCGUCUUUGCACAUGCCCAUGUGGGAUACAAUUCCACUUACAAGGGGAACUACCUAUGUGAGCUGCCAGCUUAGAGAUGUUCUUUAUGGAUGGUAAGCUGAGUGGAGUAUAAAAGUUCAGGAUAUUCUGAAACAUGUCUACCACCUUGGCUCCCAUCUCCUCCCCCUGUUGACAGCCUGACUCAUGGGUCCUGCAGUGAACGGGAAAAGCAGAGCGGACCGCCAGCAUCCUCUACCACAGGAACAUGCUGCCAUCUGGAGGCUUCCAGAAGAAAAUAAAAUAAAAUAGAUAAAGAGGAACCUGG
This is a non-coding RNA of Peromyscus maniculatus bairdii (prairie deer mouse), 531 nucleotides long. The record is from RefSeq and is a predicted model, not a curated record. NCBI's taxonomy places the organism in Eukaryota, Metazoa, Chordata, Mammalia, Rodentia, Cricetidae.